Molecule: non-coding RNA, 113 nt
Organism: Dendryphion nanum
Lineage: Eukaryota; Fungi; Ascomycota; Dothideomycetes; Pleosporales; Torulaceae
Source: the annotation of a GenBank genome assembly
GUCGGGCUGGCGCAAUGGUAGCGCGUUGGACUUCUACUUCCGAUUUUAGUUCCCUGGACUAGGUCAGAGCUGGAAGGAAUCCAAAGGUUGCGGGUUCGAGUCAGUACACGUCU